AUUGAACGCUGGCGGCAGGCUUAACACCUGCAAGUCGGACGAGUGGCGGACGGGUGAGUAAUGCUUGGGAAUCUAGCUUAUGGAGGGGGAUAACUACGGGAAACUGUAGCUAAUACCGCGUACCAUAGGAUGAGCCCAAGUGGGAUUAGGUCGUUGGUGAGGUAAAGGCUCACCAAGCCGACGAUCCCUAGCUGGUCUUAGAGGAUGACCAGCCACACUGGAAAUGAGAGACGGCCCAGAGUCCUACGGGAGGCAGCAGUGGGGAAUAUUGCGCAAUGGGGGCAACCUGACGCAGCCAUGCCGCGUGAAUGAAGAAGGCCUUCGGGUUGUAAAGUACUUUCAGUAGCGAGGCGUUACCUACAGAAGAAGCACCGGCUAACUCCGUGCCAGCAGCCGCGGUAAUUC
This 405-nucleotide ribosomal RNA is filed under the name uncultured bacterium. RNAcentral describes it as "partial 16S ribosomal RNA". It matches the Rfam family "Bacterial small subunit ribosomal RNA", at positions 30 to 526 of the family's 1533-position model. The record is from RNAcentral.